RNAcentral lists this ribosomal RNA (456 nucleotides) under uncultured soil bacterium. Its description in RNAcentral is "bacterial SSU rRNA". It matches the Rfam family "Bacterial small subunit ribosomal RNA", at positions 26 to 520 of the family's 1533-position model. The record is from RNAcentral.
AGAACGAACGCUGGCGGCAUGCCUAACACAUGCAAGUCGAACGAGACCUUCGGGUCUAGUGGCGCACGGGUGCGUAACGCGUGGGAAUCUGCCCUUGGGUUCGGGAUAACAGUUGGAAACGACUGCUAAUACCGGAUGAUGACUUCGGUCCAAAGAUUUAUCGCCCAGGGAUGAGCCCGCGUCGGAUUAGCUAGUUGGUGGGGUAAAGGCCUACCAAGGCGACGAUCCGUAGCUGGUCUGAGAGGAUGAUCAGCCACACUGGGACUGAGACACGGCCCAGACUCCUACGGGAGGCAGCAGUGGGGAAUAUUGGACAAUGGGCAAAGCCUGAUCCAGCAAUGCCGCGUGAGUGAUAGAAGGCCGUUAGGGUCGUAAAGCUUACUUUUACCCGGGAUGACUAAUGAACAGUACCGGUAGAAGUAGACCCCGCUAACCGUCCGUACGCUAGCUACGCCG